AGACCGAUAGCGAACAAGUAGAGUGAUCGAAAGAUGAAAAGCACUUUGAAAAGAGAGUUAAACAGCACGUGAAAUUGUUGAAAGGGAAGCGCUUGCGACCAGACUCGCCCGCGGGGGUUCAGCCGGUACUCGUACCGGUGUACUCCCCCGGGGGCGGGCCAGCGUCGGUUUGGGCGGUCGGUCAAAGGCCUCCGGAAUGUGUCGCCCCCCGGGGCGUCUUAUAGCCGGAGGUGCAAUGCGGCCAGCCUGGACCGAGGAACGCGCUUCGGCUCGGACGCUGGCGUAAUGGUCGUAAGCGGCCCGUCUUGAAACACGGACCAAG
Molecule: ribosomal RNA, 322 nt
Filed under: Paecilomyces fulvus
Lineage: Eukaryota; Fungi; Ascomycota; Eurotiomycetes; Eurotiales; Thermoascaceae
Also listed under: 1 other name
Description: LSU rRNA
Rfam family: Eukaryotic large subunit ribosomal RNA
Source: RNAcentral